UACGAAGGGGGCUAGCGUUGCUCGGAAUCACUGGGCGUAAAGCGCACGUAGGCGGAUUGCUAAGUCAGGGGUGAAAUCCUGGAGCUCAACUCCAGAACUGCCUUUGAUACUGGUGAUCUUGAGUCCGGGAGAGGGAUGCAGAAUUCCAGGUGUAGCGGUGAAAUGCGUAGAUAUCUGGAGGAAUACCGGUGGCGAAGGCGGCAUCCUGGACCGGCAUUGACGCUGAUGAGCGAAAGCUAGGGGAGCAAACGGGG
This 254-nucleotide ribosomal RNA is filed under the name uncultured bacterium. Its description in RNAcentral is "partial 16S ribosomal RNA". It matches the Rfam family "Bacterial small subunit ribosomal RNA", at positions 524 to 777 of the family's 1533-position model. The record is from RNAcentral.